RNAcentral lists this ribosomal RNA (266 nucleotides) under uncultured prokaryote. Its description in RNAcentral is "partial 16S ribosomal RNA". It matches the Rfam family "Bacterial small subunit ribosomal RNA", at positions 524 to 788 of the family's 1533-position model. The record is from RNAcentral.
UACGUAGGUGGCGAGCGUUGUCCGGAUUUACUGGGCGUAAAGGGAGCGUAGGCGGACUUUUAAGUGAGAUGUGAAAUACCAGGGCUUAACUUGGGUGCUGCAUUUCAAACUGGAAGUCUAGAGUGCAGGAGAGGAGAAUGGAAUUCCUAGUGUAGCGGUGAAAUGCGUAGAGAUUAGGAAGAACACCAGUGGCGAAGGCGAUUCUCUGGACUGUAACUGACGCUGAGGCUCGAAAGCGUGGGGAGGCAAACAGGAUUAGAUACCCU